Molecule: long non-coding RNA, 1441 nt
Filed under: Sinocyclocheilus grahami
Lineage: Eukaryota; Metazoa; Chordata; Actinopteri; Cypriniformes; Cyprinidae
Description: lncRNA (ENSSGRG00000026152.1)
Source: RNAcentral
CGUUUUUUGGGUGAAUGUUAAGUGACUUUCAUAAAUGCAUGCAGGUCUGCAGAAUGCUUCUCUUCUGGAGAACAAGAUGCUGGUGUGCUGUAAUAGCCCUCCUCAUUUGAAAGGUAUCCCAGUAUGGCAGGUACCAGAAUGUAAAACCCUCACAACUAUGAGCCCUACCACUACAAGUCUUACCACUGUGAGCCUGACCACUGGAAGUCCUGGCACCGGGAACCCUGCCACUGUAUUAAUAACCAAACCUCUUAGAAUCGGACCCUCAACUUUAAUCAUUUUAAUUGUAUUGUAUCACAGGAAACGAGAGAGAAAACAUCUACAGGCUGUAAAACCGGCUUCAGAGAAAUCAGAAAUGAUACGAACCAGUGAAUCAACUGCAAAGAGCAAUGGAGAAGAAAACAGAAAAAUGACAUCUGAAAUUGCUAAUAAAACACAAAUUGCCACAACAGAGGUGUUACUGAGGACAAACCAAAUUAUGGUUGGAGAUGAGAAGACAUCACAGAUUUACCAUAUUUAUUCAUCAGGGACAUAUGAAACCAGAGAACCUAUUAAACGAGUGAGAUCUGCCGGGCCGGUCCUGUGCAGGAUGGAGAUGUUUUCUAAACCGACAGAAGCAGAAGUGGCCACUGAAGAAGAUGGGGUAAGGAAUGAUGAGUAUUACAAUGGAUGGAUGACCUCAGAAAAAGAAAAGGACAAUGUAUGUGUGAAUACUGAGGAGGUGGAAGAUGGAAAAAACUUUGCAGAUGAUGAGAAUGAUGGAUUCAUUGAUGAGGUCAGUAACACCACAGACACUGUGAAAUUACACAAGGAACUUGGAGAGAAAAAAGAUGCUGAUGUGAGUGUUCAAGCCGGAACAAGUGUUGACCAAGACGUUCUCCAGCAUAGUGUGGAGAAUGAUGUGUUGGAUCACCUGAAUGAGUUGACCGUUGAAGCAGGAAGCAGUCAAGAUUCUCUCCAGGUAAAACAUGUCACAUCCCAGUCUGAGGAGACUGCUGAAAACCUGCCGUACCUCUCGAUCGGUGCUGAUCCGGAAAACCAGACCUCUAGGGUUGAUCAGAAUACUGCUAAAGGAACAUCAGGACCUUCAAGACCCAUUUGGCGGGUACUGACCUGGCCUCCGACUGCGGCCCAGUGGAAGAAACAGUGGGCUCAAAAUCAACAAGUGCUUAAUAUGUUCCCUCAACUAAUAUUUGUAACCGGCUGCAGGCAUGACAUCAGACCAUUUCAUCCUAGCAUUUCUCCUGCAAUCCUCCCAACUGCUCCACAGUUCAAUGCACGGGAGUUUCUGCCAGAAAUAACGUCCCCAAUAGAAGAUGUCCGAGUCACUAUUGAUGAGGACACUUACAGGGCAAGUCUUGAGUCAUCCAAUCAUAAAGUCCUACAUUUCAGUGCACAGGAAUGCUUCUCUGAUUCUAAUAUAUCACCAAGGGAGGAUGGC